This 497-nucleotide ribosomal RNA is filed under the name uncultured bacterium. Its description in RNAcentral is "partial 16S ribosomal RNA". It matches the Rfam family "Bacterial small subunit ribosomal RNA", at positions 28 to 507 of the family's 1533-position model. The record is from RNAcentral.
GAUGAACGCUGGCGGCGUGCCUAAUACAUGCAAGUCGAGCGAACGGACGAGAAGCUUGCUUCUCUGAUGUUAGCGGCGGACGGGUGAGUAACACGUGGAUAACCUACCUAUAAGACUGGGAUAACUUCGGGAAACCGGAGCUAAUACCGGAUGAUAUUUUGAACCGCAUGGUUCAAAAGUGAAAGACGGUCUUGCUGUCGCUUAUAGAUGGAUCCGCGCUGCAUUAGCUAGUUGGUAAGGUAACGGCUUACCAAGGCAACGAUGCAUAGCCGACCUGAGAGGGUGAUCGGCCACACUGGAACUGAGACACGGUCCAGACUCCUACGGGAGGCAGCAGUAGGGAAUCUUCCGCAAUGGGCGAAAGCCUGACGGAGCAACGCCGCGUGAGUGAUGAAGGUCUUCGGAUCGUAAAACUCUGUUAUUAGGGAAGAACAUAUGUGUAAGUAACUGCGCACAUCUUGACGGUACCUAAUCAGAAAGCCACGGCUAACUACGUG